This 281-nucleotide ribosomal RNA is filed under the name bacterium enrichment culture clone 28. RNAcentral describes it as "partial 16S ribosomal RNA". It matches the Rfam family "Bacterial small subunit ribosomal RNA", at positions 98 to 365 of the family's 1533-position model. The record is from RNAcentral.
GCGGACGGGUGAGUAACGCGUGGAUAACCUACCCAUAAGACCGGGACAACCCUUGGAAACGAGGGCUAAUACCGGAUAACUUUCUACUCCGGCAUCGGAGAAGAAAGAAAGGUGGCCUCUGAAAAUGCUACCGUUUAUGGAUGGAUCCGCGUCUGAUUAGCUAGUUGGUGGGGUAAAGGCCUACCAAGGCGACGAUCAGUAGCCGGCCUGAGAGGGUGAACGGCCACACUGGGACUGAGACACGGCCCAGACUCCUACGGGAGGCAGCAGUGGGGAAUCUU